UGCGUAGGCGGUUUGCUAUGUCGGAUGUGAAAACUCUGGGCUCAACCCAGAGCCUGCAUCCGAAACUGGCGAGCCAGAGUUCUGGAGGGGGUAGCGGAAUUCCUGGUGUAGCGGUGAAAUGCGUAGAUAUCAGGAGGAACACCGGUGGCGAAGGCGGCUACCUGGACAGAAACUGACGCUGAGGCACGAAAGCUAGGGGAGCAAACA
This 207-nucleotide ribosomal RNA is filed under the name uncultured bacterium. Its description in RNAcentral is "partial 16S ribosomal RNA". It matches the Rfam family "Bacterial small subunit ribosomal RNA", at positions 568 to 774 of the family's 1533-position model. The record is from RNAcentral.